This is a long non-coding RNA of Amborella trichopoda, 231 nucleotides long. RefSeq lists it as uncharacterized. Lineage: Eukaryota; Viridiplantae; Streptophyta; Magnoliopsida; Amborellales; Amborellaceae. The record is from RefSeq and is a predicted model, not a curated record.
AUCACCUGCAUUCAUGGUGCGCUUAUCAUGAAAUAUUUUUGAUUUUGGAGAUCAUAUGAGAACCAGACCAAGCAAAAGUUGCAGAGUAGCAGUAAUCCACAGCAUCAAUCAACUGCUGGAAGUACUUUCUAGCCUGCUCAUCAGAUAUCCUCUUAAGAAGGUUUGGUUGUAUGAUUUUCAUACUCUUGCUUUUGCUCGUCGUCGUCAAAGCCGGCUUCUUCUCUCUUUCUA